Molecule: long non-coding RNA, 250 nt
Filed under: Mytilus galloprovincialis (Mediterranean mussel)
Lineage: Eukaryota; Metazoa; Mollusca; Bivalvia; Mytilida; Mytilidae
Source: RNAcentral
AUGCCAUGUUUGGUUUCAUUCCAUUCAGUGGUUCUCUAAAAGAAGUCAUUUGUAUGCAUUUCCCAUAGGGUCCUAUGUUAAACUAAGUCCCCCGCUGGCGGCCAUCUUGGAUGAUGGAUCGGCUACAAAGUAACAACACUUGGUCAGCACCUCAUAAGGAACAUUCAUGCCAUGUUUGGUUUCAUUCCAUUCAGUGGUUCUCUAAAAGAAGUCAUUUGUAUGCAUUUCCCAUAGGGUCCUAUGUUAAACU